RNAcentral lists this transfer RNA (77 nucleotides) under Ottowia sp. oral taxon 894. RNAcentral describes it as "tRNA-Pro". It matches the Rfam family "tRNA". Rfam says of the family: Transfer RNA (tRNA) molecules are approximately 80 nucleotides in length. Their secondary structure includes four short double-helical elements and three loops (D, anti-codon, and T loops). The record is from RNAcentral. RNAcentral also lists the same sequence under 3 other names. Lineage: Bacteria; Pseudomonadati; Pseudomonadota; Betaproteobacteria; Burkholderiales; Comamonadaceae.
CGGAACGUAGCGCAGUCUGGUAGCGCAUCUGCUUUGGGAGCAGAGGGUCGCGAGUUCGAAUCCCGCCGUUCCGACCA